RNAcentral lists this ribosomal RNA (1279 nucleotides) under Triticum aestivum (bread wheat). Its description in RNAcentral is "partial small subunit ribosomal RNA". Lineage: Eukaryota; Viridiplantae; Streptophyta; Magnoliopsida; Poales; Poaceae. The record is from RNAcentral.
UUCGAGGCUGCCCUAGCCGUGUGCCCCGCCGCCGCCCAGGCCUACUCCAAGUACUGCGGUAUUGUAUCUGGAUGCACAAAUGCGAACCCAAGGGAAGGGUUGGCGGAUCUUUCACGAACUAUAGAUAAUAUGGAAGGAAUGAGGGAUGGAAUAUUUGGUGAUAUUCACAAGCUCAUGUCAGUUCUUGAGUUCGAUGAUGUGAGCCAAUUCAAUUCCUUCUAUGAUUUUGUCUUCUUCAUUUCUCGUGAAAAUGGCCAAAAGAAUAUUACUGUUCAGAAGGCUCUUGCAGCAUGGAGGAUAGUUCUUGUUGGAAGGUUCCGAUUGCUUGACCGGUGGUGUAACUUUGUUGAGAAGUACCAACGUCACAACAUUUCUGAGGACGCCUGGCAGCAGCUACUAGCUUUCAGCAGGUGUGUAAACGAGGAUCUGGAAGGUUAUGAUCCAAAAGGUGCUUGGCCUGUCAUAAUUGAUGAUUUUGUGGAGCACAUGCACAGAAUCUACCGCCCUAGUGACUGCUCCAGUGCAAUGGAAUCACAAUGCAGCAUUUCCAAUACAUUUAGAGGUCUAAAUCUAUUACCUGGAUCAAAGAGGAAAUGCCCUACUCAGUUUAACUCCAGUGAAGAGAGCGUAGAGCUCUCAGAAGCUCUUAGACACUCUGUCCAACUUACCCCGUCGAAGCGACUUAAGGAAAGUUCUGCGCCUACUAGAUAUGGUGUUUGGGAGCGAGACGCAAGUACCCCUUUCUUUAACAGCACACCAGAUUGUCGCGAGGACAUGAAUUUACAGAACUCAAGAGGCUGCCUUCAGAACUCACCUCGUGUUAUUGAGGAUGGUUUUUCAAAAGGGUUCGAAGGUUGCAUUUCAAUGAAAUGCUCAUUUUAGUGCAAUGAGGAAUGCAUGGCAUCAUCAUUUAUGACUGCCCGUUACUCCAUAUAUUUCUGUUUUGCGUCAACACCAUUUUGUAUUUGUACUUAAAGUCAGUUUCCCAGUGGUGAUAUUAUUUUGUACACAAACAGUGAUGUUAUACAUGUCUGCUAUCGCAGAGAAAACGGCUUGUGAUUGUUCUUUCCUAAGUGUUUUGUUACCAAGUUUACGCAAUUGUUCUCCUGCUAUUUGCUGGGGAAAGUAAAAUGACUGCAUAGGGCAAUUCUUACCUCAAGUUAUUAGCAUACUAAAAACAAGAGUGUAGUAGCGUCUGUAUAUGUGCAAAGUACAUCUCUCUUUUUUUGGAGUGGCGUUUUUGCUCCCGGGAGCAUAUGCUCCUGGGUGAACAGUACCC